RNAcentral lists this ribosomal RNA (484 nucleotides) under uncultured bacterium. RNAcentral describes it as "partial 16S ribosomal RNA". It matches the Rfam family "Bacterial small subunit ribosomal RNA", at positions 30 to 507 of the family's 1533-position model. The record is from RNAcentral.
AUUGAACGCUGGCGGCAGGCCUAACACAUGCAAGUCGAGCGGAUGAAGGGAGCUUGCUCCUGGAUUCAGCGGCGGACGGGUGAGUAAUGCCUAGGAAUCUGCCUGGUAGUGGGGGAUAACGUCCGGAAACGGGCGCUAAUACCGCAUACGUCCUGAGGGAGAAAGUGGGGGAUCUUCGGACCUCACGCUAUCAGAUGAGCCUAGGUCGGAUUAGCUAGUUGGUGGGGUAAAGGCCUACCAAGGCGACGAUCCGUAACUGGUCUGAGAGGAUGAUCAGUCACACUGGGACUGAGACACGGUCCAGACUCCUACGGGAGGCAGCAGUGGGGAAUAUUGGACAAUGGGCGAAAGCCUGAUCCAGCCAUGCCGCGUGUGUGAAGAAGGUCUUCGGAUUGUAAAGCACUUUAAGUUGGGAGGAAGGGCAGUAAGUUAAUACCUUGCUGUUUUGACGUUACCAACAGAAUAAGCACCGGCUAACUUCAUG